UACGGAAGGCAGCAGGGGGAAUAUUGCACAAUGGGCGAAAGCCUGAUGCAGCUAUGCCGCGUGUAUGAAGAAGGCCUUAGGGUUGUAAAGUACUUUCAUCGGGGAGGAAAAAACAAAACUAAUAAUUUUAUUUCUUGACGUUACCCGAAAAAGAAGCACCGGCUAACUCCGUGCCAGCAGCCGCGGUAAUACGGAGGGUGCUAGCGUUAAUCAGAAUUACUGGGCGUAAAGAGCACGUAGGUGGUUUUUUUAAAGUCAGAUGUGAAAUCCCUGGGCUUAACCUAGGAACUGCAUUUGAAACUGAAAUACUAGAGUAUCGUAGAGGGAGGUAGAAUUCUAGGUGUAGCGGUGAAAUGCGUAGAUAUCUGGAGGAAUACCUGUGGCGAAAGCGGCCUCCUAAACGAAUACUGACACUGAGGGUGCGAAAGCGUGGGGAGCAAACAGGGAUUAGAUACC
Molecule: ribosomal RNA, 456 nt
Filed under: uncultured bacterium
Lineage: Bacteria
Description: bacterial SSU rRNA
Rfam family: Bacterial small subunit ribosomal RNA
Source: RNAcentral